Molecule: small nucleolar RNA, 138 nt
Organism: Tachyglossus aculeatus (Australian echidna)
Lineage: Eukaryota; Metazoa; Chordata; Mammalia; Monotremata; Tachyglossidae
Source: RefSeq, a predicted model, not a curated record
CACCUCUCAGGGUCGCAUCUGGAGAGUUUCCAGUCCUCUACCAGUCUCGGCUACAGGAGGGAGUGUCAAGCGGAGGCCUACCCAUUCCAUUCCUAGCUUGGGCAGUGGCUAGCGUGUGGAAGGCAAUCUCCUACGAGU